GUAGUCAUAUGCUCGUCUCAAAGAUUAAGCCAUGCACGUGCGAGUACGAUCUCGGUCACGCAGAGAGAAACUACAGAUGGCUCAUUAAAUCAGUCGUAUCUCCAGAGAUCGUGAGUUACCCGUGGAUAUCCGUGGUAAUUCUAGAGCUAAUACAUGCGCCGAGCUCGCCCGCGCGCGUCCGUCGCCGCCCCGCGAGCGCUUUUAUUAGACCGAGACCGAAAGGCGUCGGGCGAUUUCCUACAGAUGUUUGACCCGGCGCCUAACCUUCGGCGACUCUGGAUAACCGAGCCGAUCGCCCGGCCCUCGCGCCGGCGACGUAUCUCUCAGGUGUCCGACCUAUCAAUCGACGAAGGUCGGCGAUCUGCCUACCUCGAUUACGACGGGUAACGGGGAAUCGGGGUUCGAUUCCGGAGAGGGAGCCCGAGAAACGGCUACCACAUCCAAGGAAGGCAGCAGGCGCGCAAAYUACCCAAUCCCGAAACGGGGAGGUAGUGACGAAAAAUAACGAUGUCGGGUCGCUACGCGGCGCGACGAUCGAAAUGAGUCGGCGUUAAACCCGUCGGCGAGUACCUAUCGGAGGGCAAGUCUGGUGCCAGCAGCCGCGGUAAUUCCAGCUCCGAUAGCGUAUGCUAAAGUUGUCGCGGUUAAAAAGCUCGUAGUUGGAUCACGGUUCGUCGGCCCUCGCCGUCGCCUCGCGGCUUCGCGCGAUCGUCCGGAACCUUCCGCCCGACGUCCGGCGGUGCUCUUCGCCGAGUGUCCGCUCCCGGACGCGGGCACGGUUACUUUGAGGAAAUUAGAGUGCUCAAGGCGGGUCCGUACGCGGCCCGAAUAUCGCAGCAUGGAAUAACGGAAUCUGGCCUCCGGCCGGGCGCGGCCGCGGCCGCCUCGCGCGAAGGCCCGCGUUUCGCGCGCGCGCGUCGCGUCGUCCUCGCCCGCGCGUCCGCCCUCGCGGCGGCGCGCGCGGCGGGAGGCGGCCGGCCACGCCGCGGGCGCGACGUCCCGCGCGUCGGCGCGCCGUCCGGUCCGCGUUCGGCGGCGAGUCUUCGUUCGUUGGUCUCGAGACUCGAGGCGUCGAUUAAGAGGGACGGCCGGGGGCGUUCGUAUCGCGGCGCGAGAGGUGAAAUUCUUGGACCGUCGCGAGACGCACUAGAGCGAAAGCAUUCGCCAAGGAUGUUUUCUUUAGUCAAGAACGAAAGUCAGAGGUUCGAAGACGAUCAGAUACCGUCGUAGUUCUGACCAUAAACGGUGUCGCCUACUCGUCGGCCGCGGAUCUCGAUCGACCCGGCCGGCGACCCCCGGGAAACCUUCGAGGCUUCCGACUCCGGGGGAAGUAUGUUCGCAAAGAUGAAACUUAAAGGAAUUGACGGAAGGGCACCACCAGGAGUGGAGCCUGCGGCUUAAUUCGACUCAACACGGGAAAACUCACCCGGCCCGGACUACGCGAGGAUUGACAGAUCGAUAGCUCUUUCUCGAUUCGCAGGAUGGUGGUGCAUGGCCGUUCUUAGUUGGUGGAGCGAUUUGUCUGGUUAAUUCCGAUAACGAACGAGACUCUAGCCUGCUAAAUAGACGCGCGAUCCGUCGAGACGCCGCGCCGGCGAGCUCGCGUCGGCGGCCCGCGUCCGGGCGCGCGUCGCGCUCGCGUCUCCGCCGCUCUUCGGGGCGACGGGGCGCGGGUAGCGCGCGCGUCCCGCGGCGCGUCGUCGCCCCGCGCGCGAGUCGGGUCGCGGCACUCGCGUCGCGCGCGCCUUCGAGGUCUUCUUAGAGGGACGACCGGCUUUUAGCCGUACGAGAUUGAGCGAUAACAGGUCUGUGAUGCCCUUAGAUGUCCGGGGCCGCACGCGCGCUACACUGCGCGGGACGGCGCGCUCCUACCCCGGGCCCCCAACGGCUCGGGUAACCGUCGAACCCCGCGCGUGCUCGGGAUAAGGCUUUGAAAUUCUCGCCUCCCAACGAGGAAUUCCUAGUAGGCGCGGGUCAUCAACCCGCGUCGAUUGCGUCUCUGCCCUUUGUACACACCGCCCGUCGCUACUACCGAUCGAACGGCUCAGAGAGGGCGCCGGAUCGAGGAGCCGGCGCGCGCGGGUUCGCCCGCGCCGCGGCCGAUCGACGAUGCGUCCGAACUCGGCCGUUUAGAGGAAGUAAAAGUCGUAACAAGGUUUCC
Molecule: ribosomal RNA, 2161 nt
Filed under: Wirenia argentea
Lineage: Eukaryota; Metazoa; Mollusca; Solenogastres; Pholidoskepia; Gymnomeniidae
Description: partial 18S ribosomal RNA
Rfam family: Eukaryotic small subunit ribosomal RNA
Source: RNAcentral